Molecule: transfer RNA, 64 nt
Filed under: Culicoides wadai
Lineage: Eukaryota; Metazoa; Arthropoda; Insecta; Diptera; Ceratopogonidae
Description: tRNA-Glu
Source: RNAcentral
AUUUAUAUAGUUUAAUAAAAAUAUUACAUUUUCAAUGUAAAGAUAAUAAUUAUAUUUAUAAAUU